GCAUGGUCUUAGCUUGCUAAGGCCGAUGGCGACCGGCGCACGGGUGAGUAACACGUAUCCAACCUGCCGUCUAUUCUUGGACAGCCUUCUGAAAGGAAGAUUAAUACAAGAUGGCAUCAUGAGUCCGCAUGUUCACAUGAUUAAAGGUAUUCCGGUAGACGAUGGGGAUGCGUUCCAUUAGAUAGUAGGCGGGGUAACGGCCCACCUAGUCUUCGAUGGAUAGGGGUUCUGAGAGGAAGGUCCCCCACAUUGGAACUGAGACACGGUCCAAACUCCUACGGGAGGCAGCAGUGAGGAAUAUUGGUCAAUGGGCGAGAGCCUGAACCAGCCAAGUAGCGUGAAGGAUGACUGCCCUAUGGGUUGUAAACUUCUUUUAUAAAGGAAUAAAGUCGGGUAUGCAUACCCGUUUGCAUGUACUUUAUGAAUAAGGAUCGGCUAACUCCGUGCCAGCAGCCGCGGUAAUACGGAGGAUCCGAGCGUUAUCCGGAUUUAUUGGGUUUAAAGGGAGCGUAGAUGGAUGUUUAAGUCAGUUGUGAAAGUUUGCGGCUCAACCGUAAAAUUGCAGUUGAUACUGGAUAUCUUGAGUGCAGUUGAGGCAGGCGGAAUUCGUGGUGUAGCGGUGAAAUGCUUAGAUAUCACGAAGAACUCCGAUUGCGAAGGCAGCCUGCUAAGCUGCAACUGACAUUGAGGC
RNAcentral lists this ribosomal RNA (691 nucleotides) under uncultured Bacteroidales bacterium. RNAcentral describes it as "bacterial SSU rRNA". It matches the Rfam family "Bacterial small subunit ribosomal RNA", at positions 69 to 752 of the family's 1533-position model. The record is from RNAcentral. Lineage: Bacteria; Pseudomonadati; Bacteroidota; Bacteroidia; Bacteroidales.